RNAcentral lists this long non-coding RNA (858 nucleotides) under Hordeum vulgare. RNAcentral's name for it is "long non-coding RNA (HVUL_LNC013093)". The record is from RNAcentral. Lineage: Eukaryota; Viridiplantae; Streptophyta; Magnoliopsida; Poales; Poaceae.
CCUAACCUUGGACUGGACUCGCCGGCAGGAGUUGCGGAACAUGUUAUCAGCACGCUUCGCUCCAUCAACUCUCCAUCGAGCAUGCGCCAAGCCUCCACCAAGCAGGCUUUCAGCGUUCACACGAAGGUAUAAGAUCCAAUCUAUCUUAUUGCAAAAAUGAACUCUUCAUGUCAUCUCGGUUCCGUUUUUGCGAUUAGUCUAUAUUUUGGAUUUAAUCUAUCUAUAGUGUGGAUGUUUAUCCCAAGAGGUACGUGACGAAUACGUUUCCGACUAAUUUCGAUGUUCUUGGAUCAAGAGGAAUUUGUUGACUGCACUGUAGGGGACUCGAUAGAGAUCGUGACUCACAUGGUCACGGUACCGCCGCAACGAGCCUGUUGUGCCAAGCGCCGCAUUGUGGUUAUACUGGUCGCCGAAGUUGUCUGUUGUCUGCUCGCCAUGAGCCGCCGCACGUGCCCACUGCACGCCUGCGCUGCAAGCCUGCUGCUCCGUUGCAUGCCUCACCAGCCCGUCGCGCCACCGCGAGCUUACUGCUGCACUGCACGCCCCGGCCGGUGAUGCGUCGUCCACGCCCGCCGCUUGCCUGUGCCCGCACUUUCCAUGCCGCGCCUGGCCACGCCCGCAGCGUCGGUCGCGCUCGCCGCGCCACGCGUGGCUACGCCCAUAGUGCCGACCGCGCUCGUCGCACCACUCGCCCCGCCAUGCCCCAUCCGCACGCCACGUCGUCGCGCCCUGCUGGUUGGCCGGCCGCCAUGCCCCUUGCCCAGCCGCGUCCUGCUUGCCGCUCGGGGCCGACACCUCAGCCCGCCUCGGCCUUGGCCAGAUGCAUCCGCCACCACCCCACUAUAGUGCAUGGAAAAC